RNAcentral lists this ribosomal RNA (552 nucleotides) under Bifidobacterium longum subsp. suillum. RNAcentral describes it as "bacterial SSU rRNA". It matches the Rfam family "Bacterial small subunit ribosomal RNA", at positions 144 to 711 of the family's 1533-position model. The record is from RNAcentral. Lineage: Bacteria; Bacillati; Actinomycetota; Actinomycetes; Bifidobacteriales; Bifidobacteriaceae.
UCUCCCUGGAAAACGGGUGGUAAUGCCGGAUGCUCCAGUUGAUCGCAUGGUCUUCUGGGAAAGCUUUCGCGGUAUGGGAUGGGGUCGCGUCCUAUCAGCUUGACGGCGGGGUAACGGCCCACCGUGGCUUCGACGGGUAGCCGGCCUGAGAGGGCGACCGGCCACAUUGGGACUGAGAUACGGCCCAGACUCCUACGGGAGGCAGCAGUGGGGAAUAUUGCACAAUGGGCGCAAGCCUGAUGCAGCGACGCCGCGUGAGGGAUGGAGGCCUUCGGGUUGUAAACCUCUUUUAUCGGGGAGCAAGCGAGAGUGAGUUUACCCGUUGAAUAAGCACCGGCUAACUACGUGCCAGCAGCCGCGGUAAUACGUAGGGUGCAAGCGUUAUCCGGAAUUAUUGGGCGUAAAGGGCUCGUAGGCGGUUCGUCGCGUCCGGUGUGAAAGUCCAUCGCUUAACGGUGGAUCCGCGCCGGGUACGGGCGGGCUUGAGUGCGGUAGGGGAGACUGGAAUUCCCGGUGUAACGGUGGAAUGUGUAGAUAUCGGGAAGAACACCA